This 80-nucleotide transfer RNA is filed under the name Erysipelotrichaceae bacterium. Its description in RNAcentral is "tRNA-Lys". It matches the Rfam family "tRNA". From Rfam's summary of the family: Transfer RNA (tRNA) molecules are approximately 80 nucleotides in length. Their secondary structure includes four short double-helical elements and three loops (D, anti-codon, and T loops). The record is from RNAcentral. Lineage: Bacteria; Bacillati; Bacillota; Erysipelotrichia; Erysipelotrichales; Erysipelotrichaceae.
GACCUGUUAGCUCAGUUGGUAGAGCANNCAACUGACUCUUAAUCAGUGGGUCUAGGGUUCGAGUCCCUAACGGGUCACCA